Molecule: ribosomal RNA, 237 nt
Filed under: uncultured Lactobacillus sp.
Lineage: Bacteria; Bacillati; Bacillota; Bacilli; Lactobacillales; Lactobacillaceae
Description: partial 16S ribosomal RNA
Rfam family: Bacterial small subunit ribosomal RNA
Source: RNAcentral
CCUGCCCAAGAGAUCGGGAUAACACCUGGAAACAGAUGCUAAUACCGGAUAACAACAGAUGAUGCCUAUCAACUGUUUAAAAGAUGGUUCUGCUAUCACUCUUGGAUGGACCUGCGGUGCAUUAGCUAGUUGGUAGGGUAACGGCCUACCAAGGCGAUGAUGCAUAGCCGAGUUGAGAGACUGAUAGGCCACAUUGGGACUGAGACACGGCCCAAACUCCUACGGGAGGCAGCAGCA